AUUGAACGCUGGCGGCAUGCUUUACACAUGCAAGUCGAACGGUAGCAGGCCGCAAGGUGCUGACGAGUGGCGAACGGGUGAGUAAUGCAUCGGAACGUGCCCAGUCGUGGGGGAUAACUACUCGAAAGAGUAGCUAAUACCGCAUACGAUCUAUGGAUGAAAGCGGGGGACCGUAAGGCCUCGCGCGAUUGGAGCGGCCGAUGUCAGAUUAGGUAGUUGGUGGGGUAAAGGCUCACCAAGCCAACGAUCUGUAGCUGGUCUGAGAGGACGACCAGCCACACUGGGACUGCGACACGGCCCAGACUCCUACGGGAGGCAGCAGUGGGGAAUUUUGGACAAUGGGCGCAAGCCUGAUCCAGCAAUGCCGCGUGCAGGAAGAAGGCCUUCGGGUUGUAAACUGCUUUUGUACGGAACGAAACGGCUCUGGUUAAUACCCGGGGCUAAUGACGGUACCGUAAGAAUAAGCACCGGCUAACUACGUG
RNAcentral lists this ribosomal RNA (482 nucleotides) under uncultured bacterium. RNAcentral describes it as "partial 16S ribosomal RNA". It matches the Rfam family "Bacterial small subunit ribosomal RNA", at positions 30 to 507 of the family's 1533-position model. The record is from RNAcentral.